RNAcentral lists this ribosomal RNA (510 nucleotides) under uncultured bacterium. RNAcentral's name for it is "bacterial SSU rRNA". It matches the Rfam family "Bacterial small subunit ribosomal RNA", at positions 791 to 1300 of the family's 1533-position model. The record is from RNAcentral.
UAGUCCACGCCGUAAACGGUGUCAACUAGCUGCUUGUGGCUUUAAGCCGUGGGUGGCGGAGCUAACGCAUUAAGUUGACCGCCUGGGGAGUACGGCCGCAAGGUUAAAACUCAAAUGAAUUGACGGGGGCCCGCACAAGCGGUGGAGCAUGUGGUUUAAUUCGAUGCAACGCGAAGAACCUUACCAUCCCUUGACAUCCAGAGAAUUCGCUAGAGAUAGCUUAGUGCCUUCGGGAACUCUGAGACAGGUGCUGCAUGGCUGUCGUCAGCUCGUGUUGUGAAAUGUUGGGUUAAGUCCCGCAACGAGCGCAACCCUUGUCCUUAUUUGCCAGCACGUAAUGGUGGGAACUUUAAGGAGACUGCCGGUGAUAAACCGGAGGAAGGUGGGGACGACGUCAAGUCAUCAUGGCCCUUACGGGAUGGGCUACACACGUGCUACAAUGGCGCAUACAGAGUGCAGCGAACUUGCGAGAGUAAGCGAAUCACUUAAAGUGCGUCGUAGUCCGGAUUG